GCGGCAGUACCCCAGUUGGUAGAGGGACGGGCACCGUGAAGGCCAUUGUCAGUCGGUGUCUAUGAUGUCGCUGGUUCGAGUCCAGCCUGCCGCA
This 94-nucleotide transfer RNA is filed under the name Roseburia sp. Its description in RNAcentral is "tRNA-His". It matches the Rfam family "tRNA". Rfam says of the family: Transfer RNA (tRNA) molecules are approximately 80 nucleotides in length. Their secondary structure includes four short double-helical elements and three loops (D, anti-codon, and T loops). Further hydrogen bonds mediate the characteristic L-shaped molecular structure. tRNAs have two regions of fundamental functional importance: the anti-codon, which is responsible for specific mRNA codon recognition, and the 3' end, to which the tRNAs corresponding amino acid is attached (by aminoacyl-tRNA synthetases). tRNAs cope with the degeneracy of the genetic code in two manners: having more than one tRNA (with a specific anti-codon) for a particular amino acid; and 'wobble' base-pairing, i.e. permitting non-standard base-pairing at the 3rd anti-codon position. The record is from RNAcentral. Lineage: Bacteria; Bacillati; Bacillota; Clostridia; Lachnospirales; Lachnospiraceae.